UUACGGGGGAAGUAAUUAAAAGGGAAUCAGGUGUAAAUCCUGAACAGUCCCGCUGCUGUAAGUUCCAUGCAUGUUACAAGCAAUUCACUCAUUGCCACUGGAGAAUAAUCUGGGAAGGCGUUUGUAACAGGAAUAAGUCAGAAGACCUACCAUGCAAUUAU
This 161-nucleotide non-coding RNA is filed under the name Bacteroides ovatus. The record is from RNAcentral. Lineage: Bacteria; Pseudomonadati; Bacteroidota; Bacteroidia; Bacteroidales; Bacteroidaceae.